RNAcentral lists this long non-coding RNA (541 nucleotides) under Monodelphis domestica (gray short-tailed opossum). Its description in RNAcentral is "lncRNA (ENSMODG00000048850.1)". Lineage: Eukaryota; Metazoa; Chordata; Mammalia; Didelphimorphia; Didelphidae. The record is from RNAcentral.
AUGCCGUGGCCAUCCCCUGCCUCCUGGCCAUCCGCAGCCACCCUGGCUUUCCUCCGACACUGGACUCCGAUGACUCUGAUGACAGCUCUGCCCCCCACCCACGUGGUUCACGAGUGUAGGAGGUGGAAUCUCCAUGGGCCAGCCAGGACGGGAAGCCCUGAGAAGUCAGGAAGCCCCCGUGGGUUUAGACUGGAAUUCGAGACUGUGCGAGGUAACCCUGAGCCGAGUUCUGCAGAAUGCAAUGAGGAGGUCCCUGGUACAUGGCAGGAAAACGUCCUUUGGAUGCUCAGGUAAUCCAGGAGAACCCGCGUCAUCUUCCUUCUGUGGGCUUGCUAUCUAGCCUGAUGAGUGGCCAUUCGGUGGAACGGGCUGUCAUUCCAUAAGGAGGGGGACAAGCAGCUAGGAGAGAGUCCCCUUUGUGGCCAGGGAAUGGGCACCUGGGGAGGCUGUAUUUCUGGUCCUGCUUGCACACCUGCUGGCAAAGGCGCCCGAUACCAUGGAAUAGAUGCCCCCCUUUCAAAUAAAGCGCCAGUAUCUCCCA